This 412-nucleotide ribosomal RNA is filed under the name uncultured Alphaproteobacteria bacterium. RNAcentral's name for it is "bacterial SSU rRNA". It matches the Rfam family "Bacterial small subunit ribosomal RNA", at positions 395 to 824 of the family's 1533-position model. Lineage: Bacteria; Pseudomonadati; Pseudomonadota; Alphaproteobacteria. The record is from RNAcentral.
UGCCGCGUGUGUGAUGAAGGCCUUAGGGUUGUAAAGCUCUUUCACUGGGGAAGAUGAUGACGGUAACCAGAGAAGAAGCCCCGGCUAACUUCGUGCCAGCAGCCGCGGUAAUACGAAGGGGGCUAGCGUUGUUCGGAAUUACUGGGCGUAAAGGGAGCGCAGGCGGUUCGUUCAGUUAGGGGUGAAAUCCCCGGGCUCAACCUGGGAACUGCGCUUAAUACUGAUGAACUAGAAAGCAGGAGAGGGUAGUGGAAUUUCCAGUGUAGAGGUGAAAUUCGUAGAUAUUGGAAAGAACACCAGUGGCGAAAGCGGCUACCUGGCCUGAUUUUGACGCUGAGGCUCGAAAGCGUGGGGAGCAAACAGGAUUAGAUACCCUGGUAGUCCACGCCGUAAACGAUGACUGCUAGAUGUC